Molecule: ribosomal RNA, 261 nt
Filed under: uncultured bacterium
Lineage: Bacteria
Description: partial 16S ribosomal RNA
Rfam family: Bacterial small subunit ribosomal RNA
Source: RNAcentral
UACGUAGGUGGCAAGCGUUGUCCGGAAUUACUGGGCGUAAAGCGUGCGCAGACGGUUGCGUAAGUCAGAUGUGAAAGCCCCGGGCUCAACCUGGGAAUUGCAUUUGAGACUGCGUAGCUAGGGUGCGGAAGAGGGAAGCGGAAUUUCCGGUGUAGCGGUGAAAUGCGUAGAUAUCGGAAGGAACACCAGUGGCGAAAGCGGCUUCCUGGUCCAGCACCGACGUUCAGGCACGAAAGCAUGGGGAGCAAACAGGGAUUAGAA